Molecule: long non-coding RNA, 2280 nt
Organism: Macaca mulatta (Rhesus monkey)
Lineage: Eukaryota; Metazoa; Chordata; Mammalia; Primates; Cercopithecidae
Source: Ensembl
AAGGGCUUGGCCCUUUCUACAAAGCUGAGUCGCUGGGUGAAUCCUGGUUACAACUCACAACUGAGUCAAGAAGCCAAAACCAAAUUGCCAGGCCCAGGAAGCAAUCAGAACAUGAGGUGAGGUUACAAUUCUGAAAACAGAUACUCAAAGCCUGGGCAGGGGAGGGAAAUCAAUGGAGAAGGUAGAAAUACACUCUGAAGGGCAAGGGACUGAGAACGCUGGGUCUAGUCAGAAGGGGAGAUGAUAUGAUUUGGCUGUGUCCCCAGCCAAAUCUCAUCUUGAAUUGUAGUUCCCAUUAUCCCCACUUGUUGUGGGAGGGACCCAGGGGGAGGUUAUUAAAUCACGGGGGCAGGUUUUUCCCCAUGCUAUUCUUGUGAUAGUGAAUACAUUUCAUGAGAUCUGAUUGUUUUAUAAAGGGCAGUUCCCCUGCAAAUGCCCUCUUGCCUGCUGCCAUGUAAGACAUGCCUUUUGCUCCACCUUCACCUUCUGCCAUGAUUAUGAAGCCUUCCCAGUCAUGUGGAACUGUGAGUCCAUUAAAACUCUUUUCCUUUAUAAAUUACCCAGUCUUGGGUAUUUAUUAUAGCAGUGUAAGAACAGACUAAACAAGAGAGAAAGCACCCCAGGGUUUACUGUCAUCACUGGGGUGAUGAGUAGGGAGCAAAAGUGGAGAAGUGACAACUUGAGUUUGCCUUACAGGAAAAAGCAAAGAUAUCACUGGAAAAACAGAACACACCCAUCGACAAGAUGGCGGAGGGAUUUCAAGACCCCAGUUGGAGCCAAAGUUGGUGAAGGACAAGGAGACCCAGGCGUGUGCAUAGUACCACAAUUUCGCUGGAGGGAAAUGUAAGAGAUGAAGGGGUGGCUGGAGGCUUAAGACCCUGUUUACUUAAAAAUAUUUUUUUAAAAAAAGAAAAAGAAAGACAGUCCUUAGGCAAUAUAAGAUAAAGGAAAAAACAGCAAAAAUCAUUUUAAGAAAUAAAAUUCUGCCAACGUGGUGGUAAACACCUGUAAUCCCAGCACUUUGGGAGGCCAAGGCGGAAGGAUCACUCGAGCCCAGGAGUAUGAGACCAGCCUGGGCAACAUGGUGAAACCCCAUCUCUACAAACAUACAAAAAGUAGCUGAACAUGGUGGCGUGCACCUGCAGUACCAGCUACUCUGAGGGGGUGGGGGAGGCUGAGGCAGCAGGGAUGGCUUGAGCAGGGUAGAGAGAGACAAGGAAGGAAGGAAGGAAAGGAAGGAAGGAAGGAAGGAAGGAAGGAAGGAAGGAAGGAAGGAAGGAAGGAAGGAAGGAAGGAAGGAAGGAAAGAAGGGAGGGAGGGAGGGGAGAAAGAGAGAAAGAAAGGAAGGAGGGAAGGAGAGAGGGGAGGAAGGAAGGAGAGAGAAAGAGGAAAGAAGGAAGGAAGGAAGGAGAAGGAGGAAAAAGAAAAGAAGAAAAGAAAGAAAAAGCUCUAGCUGGGUGUGGUGGCUUGUGCCUGUAGUCCAGCUAUUGAGCAGGCUGAAGCAGGAGGAUCACUGGAGCCUAGGAGUGUGAGGCCAACCUGGGCAAAGUAGCAAGACCCCAUCUCUUUAAAAAAUUAGAAAACAAAGUUCUUGUCUAGGAUUGGCCUCUAACUUGCAGCAUGACCUCAGUCCAGUGAUUUUCUUCCCUACAAUUUCUUUUUCACAAAAUCAGAUUCCUCUCUUGUUAGACCUGUUCUUUAAUAGGAAUAUAUAAUUGAUAAAUUACAUAUAAUUGAUAAUAAUAAGAUAUUACAUCAGAGCACUUAAUAAGUGAAAAUCACAGUACAAACGCAUGCUUAAACACUGUUGAAAUUUAAUGAAGUAAUUUUGACACAUGUCUAGAAAGUCAGAAGGGAAAUUUUAUUACUAAAAGUUGAGUUUGAACCAUUUGUUUUCCAGUUUUCAAGAACGUGAAGCACUGUAGUACAAAAGCCUGCCUAGGGACACCAGCACCUAACCCAAUAUGCUUUAACAAAUGAGUAAAGGAAGAAUGCCAAGAUUUCCAGCCUGCAAAGCUUCGCCUCUGGGGAAUCUAUGGCCUUCUUGCAAGGGAUCUUCUAGUUUAUAAGCUCACCAACAUAAUUUGAGAUCCAGUGAAAAUGCUAUUUUCACCAUAUGUAUAUGCCACCAUUUUCAAGUGUAUGUAGAUUGGUUGUGACUAAUAAAAUACAAUAAACAAAUUAUAAAUUUAUCAUUUGUAUAUGUAUUAAUAAAAUACAGAUUCAUUUAAAACAUUACCAAAAUUGAGUCAAUUGUCAACAUCUAUUUCUUGAUCAACC